This 150-nucleotide unclassified non-coding RNA is filed under the name uncultured Capnodiales. RNAcentral's name for it is "sequence contains ITS2". The record is from RNAcentral. Lineage: Eukaryota; Fungi; Ascomycota; Dothideomycetes; Capnodiales.
CACCAAUCAAGCCUGGCUUGGUGUUGGGCCCCGGGGAGACCCGGGCCCCAAAGUUCGCCGGCCGGACGUCCCGGAUCUCAGCGUUGUGGCAUCAAAACCCGCGGAGAGAUGGGGCGGCCGUGCCGUCACAAAACCCAUUUUCAUGAAAGG